Peromyscus maniculatus bairdii (prairie deer mouse) is the source of this 548-nucleotide long non-coding RNA. RefSeq lists it as uncharacterized. NCBI's taxonomy places the organism in Eukaryota, Metazoa, Chordata, Mammalia, Rodentia, Cricetidae. The record is from RefSeq and is a predicted model, not a curated record.
GGCAGUUAAGAACUGACCAUCAAAGGCUCCAUGUGACCAGAAGGGAACAGGUUCCAUUAAGUGCCUGUCACGUAAUAUACUGUGACAGUGCCAGGUGCCGGAGAAGAUGGGAACACAACAGCCCUUACACAUAGCUGUGUCGGGGAGACCACGGAGGAGGAAGACACUCUCAAGGGUGACAGUGGAUAGUAUCCAGAGAGGCUAUUUUGUCAACUUACUUUAGGGAGAAGCAGAUGCACCCUGAGCUUCUUAGGAACUACCAAAUGGCAUGCUGAGCACUACAAGAUGAACAUCCAACCUUGGGCUGUCAGCUCCUUCAGCUUGAAGAGAUGCCUCCAGCUGGAACCCGCAGUCAGAAUGACUCACAUGAACUAAGUCAGGCAGGAGCCAGAAAAGGGGUAAACAGCAGCUCAGAAAAAGCAGUCCAGAGGAAGAAGAUUCUGGGGCCAGACAAAAGAACUUAAUUAUUUAAAGUGUAGACUGAAACCCAUGCUGAGAGAAGAAAACCAUGCUUGGGAUCAAGGGCCUGGGGGGCACAAACUUUGGGA